This 2717-nucleotide long non-coding RNA is filed under the name Rattus norvegicus (Norway rat). RNAcentral's name for it is "long non-coding RNA NONRATT031469". Lineage: Eukaryota; Metazoa; Chordata; Mammalia; Rodentia; Muridae. The record is from RNAcentral.
CCGCAACUCUUGAUAAGUUCCUCCUUAAACUUAAUCUUGCCACAAAACAUAACUAUUCUCAUUGCUAUGCGUUCCACACUCACGAUGGGCUGUUACCUAAAACAGUGAACACUUUAAUAACUAUCAUAUAAGCAUUUUUCUUUUAACGUUUAAGGACUGUUACCACUUUUUAGGGUUUCGAGGUAAAACACAGUUAGAUCUUUAUUUCAGGUAACCAAGUUUUCAAUGUGUUUCAGAAUGAAAGACAUACAUUAAGAAGUUAGUCGUUACUUAAAAUCAAACCAAGUGGUCUACUCACUGUACUUAUUUGACCCACUGGACCACGAACCUCAGAAUUGCGGUAAAACCCUUGUUUCCAGAGUGUUCGAGUUUGUGAAUCAAGCGCUGGGCAGAAGCCCGCUCUGAAGAAAGGAAUGAAGCAUUAAAUGAUCCAGUGGAUAACCGAAUAAUAUGUCCUCCAAUUUAAUGAUAUUUUUUGACAACCAAAGCCUCAGGGUCGUGAGGACCGCAUUACAGCCUCCAGGGACCGCAUCCCCCGGGGCUGCUCCAGCAUAGUCAGAGGUCCCGCGUUCUGGGGCCGUGCGCGGCGCUCACUCUUGACGUCAUCACCCGCGCACCCAAGGCUUCUCUGGGCUGUAGUGGUGCCAGCGCUUUCGCUUUCACCGCUACUGUGAGUGACGCUUUCCCGCUAGUCUCUCCCGGCGUUGACUUUCUAGCGGUAGGUCCGCCGCGCUCCCACGGGCUCUCUGUCUCUGUCACUGCUCGCUGGCAGCAGGCCUGGCCGCUCCCACGCGGAGCGAGCUUCUCCUCAGGGCCAUGUCCAGGCCGAGCAGCGUCUCGCCGCGUCCGCCAGCUCCUAGCGGAGGCGGCACCGGAGGCGGUGGCGGCGGCCCGGCUUCGUGUGGUCCUGGAAGCGGUGGCCGGGCCAAAGGCCUCAAAGACAUUCGUAUCGACGAGGAGGUGAAGAUCGCUGUCAACAUUGCUCUGGAGCGCUUCCGAUACGGUGACCAGAGAGAAAUGGAAUUUCCUUCUUCUCUGACCAGUACGGAAAGAGCUUUUAUUCACCGACUAAGUCAAUCUCUUGGUUUAGUUUCUAAAAGUAAAGGAAAGGGAGCAAAUAGAUACCUAACUGUGAAGAAGAAAGAUGGAUCAGAAACAGCUCAUGCAAUGAUGACCUGUAAUUUGACUCAUAAUACAAAACAUGCUGUUAGGAGCCUAAUUCAGAGAUUUCCUGUCACCAAUAAAGAACGUACUGAACUUCUACCUAAAACAGAAAGAGGAAAUGUGUUUGCAGUUGAAGCUGAAAACCGAGAAAUGAGCAAGACAAGCGGGCGACUCAACAAUGGCAUACCUCAAGUUCCUGUGAAAAGGGGAGAGUCUGAAUUUGACUCAUUCAGGCAGUCUUUACCAGUUUUUGAGAAACAAGAAGAAAUUGUUAAAAUAAUUAAGGAAAAUAAAGUAGUUUUGAUUGUAGGAGAAACUGGGUCUGGAAAGACCACACAGAUUCCUCAGUUCCUGUUAGAUGAUUGCUUUAAAAAUGGCAUCCCCUGCCGAAUAUUUUGUACUCAACCGAGACGAUUAGCAGCUAUUGCUGUGGCUGAAAGAGUUGCUGCAGAGAGAAGGGAAAGGAUUGGUCAAACAAUUGGUUAUCAGAUCCGAUUAGAAAGCAGGGUUUCACCAAAGACACUUCUGACAUUUUGCACUAAUGGGGUAUUGCUUCGUACAUUGAUGGCAGGUGAUAGCACAUUGUCAACUGUGACUCAUGUUAUUGUGGAUGAAGUGCAUGAAAGGGAUCGAUUCAGUGAUUUUUUACUUACAAAGUUAAGAGAUUUGUUGCAAAAGCACCCAACUUUGAAAUUAAUUCUUUCUAGUGCUGCUUUGGAUGUGAAUCUCUUCAUAAGAUAUUUUGGAAGUUGUCCAGUGAUAUAUAGUAUGACUGUUAUUUUCUAUAAUUUCUUUGAAAUAAAACUUUGUAGUGUGAUUAUGUUUUUUAAUUCUUAAUUUUUAACAGAAACUUGAAAUACUCUGAAGAAGAGGAUAUGCAUUUAUGUUUCCCAUGAGACAGCUUUACAGUAGUCUGCCUCUACUUUGACCUCUCUUUUGCAUUUGUAGCUCUCUGAUGCCGUAUAGCAAAUUCAGUGAUCUAACAUUAAAAAGAAAUGAGCUUCUUUUUGUCCUGUGUUUCUCUUUAAACACCGCGCUGCACUUUAUUGCUUGCUCCCUUGAAACAGUCUUCUAUACCGUCUUGUUCAUCCAGUUGCAAACCCCAGACUCAGGGCUGUCAAACUCCACUUAUUCUCAGUGAGGUCUAUUCUAAGCCACCAUCAUUAGGCUUCCUUUCCCUGUACACUUUACUGCUUGAGCUAUACCUCUUAUUUCCUUCACAUUUUGUCUUGUCAGCAUCUGGCCCAGCUACCUCUUUAUGUUGUCUCUCAUCCUGAGAAUUGCAGUUUGAAUUCAACCUUACUUACUGAAUUCUCACUUGAAUAAUUUUGAUUUCAGGUCCCCCAAGUUUUGUCACUUUUAAUUGAUUUUCUAUUUUCUCUUUUUUCUUUAGCUAUGACAUUUAUUUACGGAAGUGCAGAAUCAGUUAAAAUAUCACCUUCUCAGAUGCAUGACUUAGCAAAGGAAAGGGAGCACAAUGGAAUUGCCCUGUAAGAUGAUUUCCUUUCUUCUCCUUACAGGGCUGCUUCAGCCCCCUGGGGUCGAGUAGGAGC